CCUGCUGCUCACUGAGCUUUUUGAGCUAAAUAGAUAACAUCUACUAAUGGUCAUUUUCACUGAACCAAAAGAGCAAGAACACAGAACAAGAAUAAUUGCAACACUGGGUUUAUUUACUACAGAAACUGCAAACCGCAAUCAUGAAUUGGCGCUCAUGUUAAUUUGCAGCAUCAAUUAAGAUGAUCUAUGACUGUGAAUCGUAAAAUGACCUAUCAAUAAAAGGAUGAUGUAAAUCCUAGUUGGCCUGGGAACUCCUAGGAGCCUGCUUAGUUGCUGUGCCUUGUCACAUACCAAAUGCUUAGGAAGCAGUUCUGAGCCGCUGAGAAGAAUAGCAAAAGGAUAGUUUGCUGAUAGUUGUGGCUUGUGGGCUACUGCCUAGUUGAAGAAUGGCCUGACAGGACAGGUGCUAUAUAAUUGUGUACACAACAUAUAUCCUUGAUACUGAAGUUCUAACCAGGAGCUGGAAGCAACGGAAGUACAGAACUGCAGAUUCAAUAAUAGAUCUAACCAGAGCAAAGAGCAACACUCAAACUUAUAACAGAACCACAACAAUGAAAUAUUUUAAUACCUGCAAAAUACAUCUCAUAAUCUUAUGAGCAACAAACGAAUUCAUCGAAACAACUCACUUUAUAUUCGAUGCAGUUGGAUUGCUCUGAACCCACUCUGAAGAAACAUGGCCUUCUGUGAAGGAAACCAAAGCUUUUGGCUUGUGCCCAGCCUCAUCGUGCUAGUGCUCUGAAGCCUCAGAGAGUCAGAGAUCAGAGGAGGGCAUAUGCCACCAUGACCUGGUAUAUAUAUCCAG
Molecule: long non-coding RNA, 802 nt
Filed under: Setaria italica (foxtail millet)
Lineage: Eukaryota; Viridiplantae; Streptophyta; Magnoliopsida; Poales; Poaceae
Description: long non-coding RNA (SITA_LNC006478)
Source: RNAcentral